GGGCCGGUCGUCUAGCUGGUUAGGAUAUCCGCCUGACGCGCGGAUGGUCGCCGGUUCGAGUCCGGCCCGGCCCA
Non-coding RNA from Candidatus Bathyarchaeota archaeon B24, 74 nucleotides. The record is from Rfam. NCBI's taxonomy places the organism in Archaea, Thermoproteati, Candidatus Bathyarchaeota.